Molecule: ribosomal RNA, 274 nt
Filed under: uncultured bacterium
Lineage: Bacteria
Description: partial 16S ribosomal RNA
Rfam family: Bacterial small subunit ribosomal RNA
Source: RNAcentral
AUACGGAGGGUGCAAGCGUUAUUCGGAAUCACUGGGCGUAAAGGACGCGUAGGCGGGAAGCCAAGUCUGAUGUGAAAUCCUAUGGCUUAACCAUAGAACUGCAUUGGAAACUGGUUACCUAGAGUAUGGGAGGGGGAGAUGGAAUUAGUGGUGUAGGGGUAAAAUCCGUAGAUAUCACUAGGAAUACCGAAAGCGAAGGCGAUCUCCUGGAACAAUACUGACGCUAAGGCGUGAAAGCGUGGGGAGCAAACGGGAUUAGAAACCCCAGUAGUCC